CCUACGGGAGGCAGCAGUGAGGAAUAUUGGUCAAUGGACGCAAGUCUGAACCAGCCAUGCCGCGUGCAGGAAGACGGCUCUAUGAGUUGUAAACUGCUUUUGUACGAGGGUAAAUCCCGAUACGUGUAUCGGGUUGAAAGUAUCGUACGAAUAAGGAUCGGCUAACUCCGUGCCAGCAGCCGCGGUAAUACGGAGGAUUCAAGCGUUAUCCGGAUUUAUUGGGUUUAAAGGGUGCGUAGGCGGUUCGAUAAGUUAGAGGUGAAAGCUCGGGGCUCAACCCCGGCACUGCCUCUGAUACUGUCGGGCUAGAGUUUAGUUGCGGUAGGCGGAAUGUAUGGUGUAGCGGUGAAAUGCAUAGAGAUCAUACAGAACACCGAUUGCGAAGGUAGCUUACCAAACUACGACUGACGUUGAGGCACGAAAGCGUGGGGAGCAAACAGGAUUAGAUACCCGAGUAGUC
Molecule: ribosomal RNA, 460 nt
Filed under: uncultured bacterium
Lineage: Bacteria
Description: partial 16S ribosomal RNA
Rfam family: Bacterial small subunit ribosomal RNA
Source: RNAcentral